GAUGCGCGUAGCGACAAAUAUGACAUUCGGAUGCGCUGACGAACGUGUCGUUUUCCUGUUUCCCUUGUUCAGUACCAUAUUAUUUAUUACUCAGCAUGUUAGUCCAUACUUAAUUGCAAAUCCUCCCCGUUGCCGUUUCAGGUGAAUCCAGUUGCUGCUUAAGUGGGUUUCCUUUGUACCAAACCUGAAGGUGAACCCAGUUGCUGUUUAAGUGGGCUUCCUUUGAACCAUACUUGAAGUUAAACGCAAGGCUUCACAGUUCCUGGGAAUCUGCCUGUAUAGCUUCCUUCAAGCAUGGAGAACCUACCAAAUGUUCCUGCAAGUAUUGCUGAGAAGAACCAGGGAAAUGAGACAUCUGAUGAUGCUGGCGAGCCUGAAGAAGUAGCAGACGUAUUUGUUUACAGAGAAGAUGUCGUCAGCUUGAAAUCAAACAAAAAUGCCCGUGGUUUGGUGAUGGAAGUAGCUGGCGAAUAUGAUUCUGAAGGUAGCAUCACUGAUGAUGAAUCUGAUGCUGAGGAGAAUGAGCGUAAAAGCGCUCAUAAAACUGAAAAUGUUGGUCCUGGCGGUGAUAAUGCCAAUAAUGCAAGUCAUGGAGAUGAUGUUGAGAGUCAGAGCUCUCUGCCUGAUAACAAGGUUAGGGUGUUAUGGAUUGACGGAACAGAGAUGACGGAAGAUAUUGACAGUGUGGUGGUUGUUGACAGAACUUUCCUCCAUGGGGACAUGGUUGCUUCUUCCUCAGAUCCAACUGGUCAGAUGGGGCUUGUUGCGGAUGUCAGUCUUGCGGUUGAUUUGCAAGGUGCUCAUGGAGAGAUGAUUAAGGGUGUAUCUGCAAAGGAUUUGAGACGCAUCAGGGAAUUCAAUGUGGGUGAUUAUGUUGUCUCUGGGCUAUGGCUUGGUCGGGUUGACGAAGUGUUUGAUAAUGUUAGUGUGUUGUUUGAUGAUGGUUCUGUCUGCAAGGUUUCAAGGGCAGAUCCUAUGCGCCUAAGGCUUGCCUCAGGGCCAAUGCACCCAGAUACAGCCUGCCCCUUUUAUCCAGGACAGCGUGUGAAGGCAGUGUCUUCAUCUGUGUACAAAACAUCCAGAUGGCUUCAUGGGAUGUGGAAAGCAAGUCGUCUUGAAGCUACUGUCACAAAGGUGGAAACUGCUGCUGUCAUAGUCUAUUGGAUUGCGUCUGCACACUGUGGUACAAAUCAAGAUUCUGUUCCCCCUGAGGAGCAGAACCCAAAGGAUCUGACUCUUCUGUCUUGCUUUUCAUAUGCAAGUUGGCAAUUGGCUGAAUGGUGUCAUCCUCAACCACACACAUCAUCAUGUGCCAAUGACGCUUUAAUGGAGUGUUCAAAAAUGAAAGAGCUCAAUUCUGAGCAGGCUGAUGUUCCUGAAUCUGCCGUUGAUGUUCAGGCUGAACAGGCUCAAAAUACUAAAACAGAUGUAAAUCCCCUGGAGAAACAUGGUGAUUCUCUUGCAGAUCGAUCAAAUAUGUCAGAUGGAGAUAAUACAUGCGUAGCCAAAGAUUCAGAAUCUGGCGCUAGUGUAUCAACCCUUCCAAAGGAGGGAGUGCAUGACCAUGCUACUUACAGAAAGAAGAUCAGAAAAGUUUUUGUCAGAAAGGAUAAAAGAGCAAAAAGAAGAGACGAGAGCUUUGAAAGUGCCCUGCUUAUUUCAGAUACAUAUACAAAGGUUGAUGUACUGUGGCAAGAUGGGAGAAAAGAAUGUGGAGUAAGUUCCACGUCACUGAUCCCGAUCCAGACUCCAAAUGAUCAUGAAUUCUUCCCAGAGCAGUAUGCUGUAGAAAAAGUCUCUGAUGAUGUUGACCAGCCUUCUGAAACAAGGCGUGUGGGUCUUGUUAGAAGUGUUAAUGCAAAGGACCGAACUGUGUCUGUAUCAUGGUUUAAGUCUUCGUUGCACGCACAGGAGCCUAGGGAAAUUGAGUGCACUGAAGUUGUUAGUGCAUAUGAACUUGAUGGUCACCCGGAUUAUGAUUAUUGCUAUGGAGAUGUUGUUGUUCGCUUGCCAUCUGUUUCACAUCCUAUGGAAUCAUCCAAUGGUGGAAACACCAUGGAGCUGGACAAGAAUGUAGAUUCUGAAGAAGCAUCGGCUGCUUCAAAUGCAGUGCCCCCUGAUGUUGCUGCAGAGGAACAGCUUUCACAGAAGGAAUCUAGUUCAGAAGUUACCCACCUCUCAUGGGUUGGAAAUAUAGUGGGCUUCCAAGAUGGUGAGAUUGAAGUCACUUGGGGUGAUGGGUCGGUGUCAAAGGUUGGGCCUCAUGAGAUAUAUGUUGUUGGCCGAGAAGAUGACGGUGGCUCGAUAGAUGAUGGAGCUCCUUCCGAUGCUGGUAGCUGGGAGACAGUUGAUGACAAUGAAAUGGACUUGCCUGAUGAUCCUGCAAAUGAUGAUCUGCAGAAUGCAGUCCAGAAUAGCAUUGAAAUGGAAAAUGGGUCAUUCAAUUCCCAAGAUGAAACUUCUGUUGGAAGUGGUCCACUCUCUGUUGCUUUUGGCUUUGUUACGCGACUGGCGAGUGAGAUCUUCGCCCGAGGUAAAAAGCAUUUAGAUGGGUCAAACUCAGAUGCUAUGGAUGAAGUUGAAUCUCAGCAGUCUAACGAGGUUUCAGAAUCUGGUGAUGACAUUGAUAAAAACGAGGAUGAGAACCGCAUGGCAUCAUCGGAGAGCACCACUGUGACAACAAAUGACUCUAAUGCUGAGAAGUCCGUAGAUGUAGUUAUGGCUGACGAGCCUGCAGAUUCUGAUUGCUUGAAACACUUUGAUGUUCUCCAGUGCCCUCCGGACCAUCACUACCUUGAAAACAUAGCACAUGGUACCGGUGGAAGAAAGUGGGUCAAAAAAGUUCAGCAAGAAUGGGGCAUACUUGAGAAGAAUCUACCAGAUUAUAUUUAUGUCAGGGUAUUUGAAGAUCGUAUGGAUCUGAUGAGAGCUGUGAUUAUUGGAGCAAGUGGCACACCAUACCAAGAUGGUCUGUUCUUCUUUGACUUCUAUCUUCCACCUGAGUUUCCACAAGCUCCUCCGUCGGCAUACUAUCAUUCUGGCGGCCUGCGUGUAAAUCCAAACCUUUAUGUGGAUGGGAAGGUUUGUUUAAGCCUCUUAAAUACUUGGACUGGCAGAGGGAAUGAAGUAUGGGAUCCAUCCUCAUCUAGCAUUCUCCAAGUACUAGUUUCACUCCAGGGGCUGGUUCUCAAUGAAAAGCCCUAUUUCAAUGAAGCUGGAUAUGAGAAGCAAGUCGGUACUGUUGAAGGGGAGAAGAAUGCACUGCCAUACAACGAAAACACAUAUCUGCUAAGCGUGAAAUCCAUGUUGUAUAUCUUGAGGCGGCCUCCUAUGAAUUUCGAGGAUUUUGUGAAAAGUCACUUCUGCAAGCGCGGCCACUACAUUCUCAAAGCUUGUGAGGCCUACUUGCAAGGAGCUGUGGUUGGCACGCUGAACGACGAUGCCUGCCCUCCCACCGAUACUAACAAGGAGUACUCUUGCUCCAUGGGCUUCAAACUUGCAUUGGGCAAAAUCUUGCCAAGGUUGAUCACAGCCCUGAAGGACAUAGGAGCAGACUGCAGCCAGUAUGAGCACCUCGGGAAGACCGAAACCGCUCAAGAAAGCUGAACACCGAGCCGAGGGUUGUAUCCAAAUCUUCUCUUGGCUUGAGAAAACUUGAUAAAACUUCACCCCCGCUGUUUCCGUAUAAAUGUACAUUCAACAUUUGUUGUUUUAUUAUCUGAACAUUUGGGAAACGUGGUUCCAAAUGAAUCCAUCAUCUCUUCCAAACUGGGAAUUGAGGUGUGUCCUGCACAGUUUAUGUUUUUGUUAAGCUUUGUGGGUUUGUUGUUAAGGUACCCUUAUAUUAUUUUAAAGGCCAGACCAGCAUUGCAAGAUUAAGCCUAGAAAUUCCAAGGGUAGAGAUGCAGCUGGCUAAAUGAUGAUGGCAUUUUCCUUCUGCGGUACUCCGUUUGUUUUUAUGUAC
This 3964-nucleotide ribosomal RNA is filed under the name Triticum aestivum (bread wheat). RNAcentral describes it as "partial small subunit ribosomal RNA". Lineage: Eukaryota; Viridiplantae; Streptophyta; Magnoliopsida; Poales; Poaceae. The record is from RNAcentral.